AUUGAACGCUGGCGGCAUGCCUUACACAUGCAAGUCGAACGGCAGCGGGCCUUCGGGUGCCGGCGAGUGGCGAACGGGUGAGUAAUGCAUCGGAACGUGCCAUUGAGUGGGGGAUAACGUAGCGAAAGUUACGCUAAUACCGCAUAUUCUGUGAGCAGGAAAGCAGGGGAUCGCAAGACCUUGCGCUGAUUGAGCGGCCGAUGUCAGAUUAGCUAGUUGGUGAGGUAAAGGCUCACCAAGGCGACGAUCUGUAGCGGGUCUGAGAGGAUGAUCCGCCACACUGGAACUGAGACACGGUCCAGACUCCUACGGGAGGCAGCAGUGGGGAAUUUUGGACAAUGGGGGCAACCCUGAUCCAGCCAUGCCGCGUGAGUGAAGAAGGCCUGGUUGUAAAGCUCUUUCGGCCGGGAAGAAAUCGCAUGGGUUAAUACCC
RNAcentral lists this ribosomal RNA (433 nucleotides) under uncultured bacterium. RNAcentral describes it as "bacterial SSU rRNA". It matches the Rfam family "Bacterial small subunit ribosomal RNA", at positions 30 to 469 of the family's 1533-position model. The record is from RNAcentral.